This 253-nucleotide ribosomal RNA is filed under the name uncultured bacterium. Its description in RNAcentral is "partial 16S ribosomal RNA". It matches the Rfam family "Bacterial small subunit ribosomal RNA", at positions 524 to 776 of the family's 1533-position model. RNAcentral also lists the same sequence under 1 other name. The record is from RNAcentral.
UACGUAGGUGGCAAGCGUUGUCCGGAAUUAUUGGGCGUAAAGCGCGCGCAGGUGGUUCCUUAAGUCUGAUGUGAAAGCCCCCGGCUCAACCGGGGAGGGUCAUUGGAAACUGGGGAACUUGAGUGCAGAAGAGGAUAGUGGAAUUCCAAGUGUAGCGGUGAAAUGCGUAGAGAUUUGGAGGAACACCAGUGGCGAAGGCGACUGUCUGGUCUGUAACUGACACUGAGGCGCGAAAGCGUGGGGAGCAAACAGG